Salvia miltiorrhiza (redroot sage) is the source of this 961-nucleotide long non-coding RNA. RefSeq lists it as uncharacterized. The transcript has 2 exons. The record is from RefSeq and is a predicted model, not a curated record. Lineage: Eukaryota; Viridiplantae; Streptophyta; Magnoliopsida; Lamiales; Lamiaceae.
AUCGAUGAAGAUUUUUUGCAAUAGUAUAUAGUACUGUAACAUGAUUCCACCUUUCUUAAACCCAUAAACUGUGAUUAUUUUUUUUCAAUUUCUUGUAAAAAAAAUCUAUCACAUGAUUGAACAAAACAUAAGAUAACUUCUCAGUACGUAACAUCAACUAGUAUAUAUGCAAAGGCAUGUCCAAGAAUCUUGAUUUUUCCAUGUUGAAAAAGCAUUCAAAACUUAUCUAAAUAGAAUCGACACACAUGCAAGUUGAGAAAAACCCUAACACCCCCCCCCCCCAAAAAAAAAAAUAAUAAACAAAAUAAAAAAAAUAAUCCAUAGGUAUCUCAUCAUUCAUAAUUCCUAUAUGUUGUAAGAAUCUUAUCUACCACUAUAUAAAGAGGCUCCAUAACUGCUACACAUGCAACAACACAAAACCUUCUCCACAUUGUUUAAUUUUCUUGCAGAAGCAAAAUAAAAAUGGCAUCAUGGGCAGAACUCAAAAGAGCAGGUGCAGAUGGGUUUGCGAUACUGGAAGAGUACAUGGUGAGGCCAGCGGCGGCAACAAGGCGGCGCCCCGUUGCUCAGCAUGUCCACAGCCACGGCUGCUUGUACCAGCCAAACCAGAGCGUUGAGCAUCAUGUUAAGCCGCUGUCUGCGGUUGAUUAUGAGGUGGUGCAGCUCCGAGACACGCCGGCAGUGUCAAUUUUGGACUACUCAAAGAGGAAGUCUAGAGGUGUGGGCUAUUAGAGAGCUUGUCUUAGACAAAUUAAGCAUGUUUCAUUGUAAUAAUUAACUUGAGCAUGCUAGCUAGGGUUCCUAGGUACUGUAACGAGGUUUAUCCACAACGCACCUAGAUGUGGCGGCUGUGAGUUUCUACUCCUCACUUAAAAACAAUCUGAAGAAGUUGUAAUACUUUUUCUUUGUGUAAAUAAGUAUGGAAGUGCUUUUGGCAUUAAUUAAGCUACUAAUUAUGGGA